GGCCCCGUGGUGUAACGGUUAGCACGUCAGGUUUUCAACCUGGUAGCGCGGGUUCGACUCCCGCCGGGGCUA
This 72-nucleotide transfer RNA is filed under the name Solirubrobacterales bacterium. Its description in RNAcentral is "tRNA-Glu". It matches the Rfam family "tRNA". From Rfam's summary of the family: Transfer RNA (tRNA) molecules are approximately 80 nucleotides in length. Their secondary structure includes four short double-helical elements and three loops (D, anti-codon, and T loops). Further hydrogen bonds mediate the characteristic L-shaped molecular structure. tRNAs have two regions of fundamental functional importance: the anti-codon, which is responsible for specific mRNA codon recognition, and the 3' end, to which the tRNAs corresponding amino acid is attached (by aminoacyl-tRNA synthetases). tRNAs cope with the degeneracy of the genetic code in two manners: having more than one tRNA (with a specific anti-codon) for a particular amino acid; and 'wobble' base-pairing, i.e. permitting non-standard base-pairing at the 3rd anti-codon position. The record is from RNAcentral. Lineage: Bacteria; Bacillati; Actinomycetota; Thermoleophilia; Solirubrobacterales. RNAcentral also lists the same sequence under 1 other name.